RNAcentral lists this ribosomal RNA (290 nucleotides) under uncultured bacterium. Its description in RNAcentral is "partial 16S ribosomal RNA". It matches the Rfam family "Bacterial small subunit ribosomal RNA", at positions 333 to 615 of the family's 1533-position model. The record is from RNAcentral.
GGAAACCUACGGGGGGCAGCAGUAGGGAAUCUUCCACAAUGGACGAAAGUCUGAUGGAGCAACGCCGCGUGAGUGAAGAAGGGUUUCGGCUCGUAAAGCUCUGUUGGUAGUGAAGAAAGAUAGAGGUAGUAACUGGCCUUUAUUUGACGGUAAUUACUUAGAAAGUCACGGCUAACUACGUGCCAGCAGCCGCGGUAAUACGUAGGUGGCAAGCGUUGUCCGGAUUUAUUUGGCGUAAAGCGAGUGCAGGCGGGUCAAUAAGGCUGAUGUGAAAGCCUUUGGCUCAACCG